This 253-nucleotide ribosomal RNA is filed under the name uncultured bacterium. RNAcentral's name for it is "partial 16S ribosomal RNA". It matches the Rfam family "Bacterial small subunit ribosomal RNA", at positions 524 to 776 of the family's 1533-position model. The record is from RNAcentral.
UACGUAGGGGGCGAGCGUUAUCCGGAAUCAUUGGGCGUAAAGAGCGUGUAGGCGGCCCGGUAAGUCCGCUGUGAAAGUCCAGGGCUCAACCCUGGGAUGCCGGUGGAUACUGUCGGGCUCGAGUCCGGAAGAGGAGUGUGGAAUUCCUGGUGUAGCGGUGAAAUGCGCAGAUAUCAGGAGGAACACCAAUGGCGAAGGCAGCACUCUGGGACGUGACUGACGCUGAGACGCGAAAGCGUGGGGAGCAAACAGG